UAGGGGGGUAUUAAUAAGUAAUUAAAAUAAUAAAAAAAUUUUUAUAAUAAAAUAUGUUUAAUGGGGGUUAAGGUAUUUUAAAAGAAAAAAUUUUAAGGUUUAUAGAGUAUUAGUAUUGUUAAAGAAUUUUGAAAUAUAUGAAAUAUAUAAUUAUUUUAAAAGUAAUUUUUAUUUAAUGUAUCUUGGGUAUCAGAGUUUAUUAAUAAAAUUUUUUAGGGGGAAAUUUCUCGAAUUUAAAAGAGAGAAUUAAUUAAUAAAGUUAUUGUGGUAAAAAUAUUUUUAAUAAUUAAUUUGAAAUGAAAUGUUAAUCGUUUUUAAAUAUAUCUGGUUUUUUUAGAAAAAAAUUUAAUUUUGAAUUUUUAGUUAAAUUUAAAUUAUUUGUGAUUUAAUUUUAAGAAAAGUUUUAUAUUUUAGGGGAUAAGCUUUAAAUUAAAGUUAUAUAAAUUAAGUUUGAAUAAGUUUUUGAAAUUUUUAUGAUUUAUAUUGUUAAUAAAUUUUAAUUUAUUAUAAAUAAUUUCAUUGAAAUUAAAAUUUAAAAUAAAGAUUUUAUUUUUCUAUAAAAAAAUAAAUUUAAAUUUGAAAAAUUUAGUUAUAAUGAUAAAAUUAGUAUAUAAAUUAAUUGUGAAAUAUUUAUUAAAAUUAAUUAAUUAAUUUUAAGGAAUUCGGCAAAAUUUUAUAUUCACUUGUUUAUCAAAAACAUGUCUUUUUGAAAAAUAAUUUAAAGUCUAAUCUGCCCACUGAUUUAUAAUUAAAGGGCUGCAGUAUUUUGACUGUACAAAGGUAGCAUAAUCAAUAGUCAUUUAAUUGGUGACUUGAAUGAAGGAUUGGAUGAAAUAUAGACUGUCUUAAAAUUAAAUAAAUAAAAUUUAAUUUUUUAAUUAAAAAGUUAAAAUAUGUUAAAAAGACGAGAAGACCCUAUAGAGUUUUAUAUUUUAUUUAUAUAAAAUUAUUUGUAAAAUUUAUAUAUUUUAAAUUAGUUAAAUAUUUGAUUGGGGUGAUUAAAAAAUAUAAGUAACUUUUUUUAUAUGUUUACAUAGAUUAAUGAGUUUGUGAUCCAAUUUUAUUGAUUAUAAGAAAAAAUUACCUUAGGGAUAACAGCGUAAUUUUUUUUUUUAGUUCGUAUAAAAAAAAGAGUUUGCGACCUCGAUGUUGGAUUAAGAUAAAAUUUAAGUGUAAAAGUUUAAAAUUUUGAUCUGUUCGAUCAUUAAAAUCUUACAUGAUCUGAGUUCAAACCGGUGUGAGCCAGGUUGGUUUCUAUCUUUUAAUUUAAAAGAUUAUUUUAGUACGAAAGGAAUAAAUAUUUAAAUUAAAUUUAUAUAGAGAAUUUUAUUAAUUUAUUUUUUAGAUUUUAGUAGUAAUUUGUAUUUUAUUUAAUAAUAACAUAUUUGUU
This 1390-nucleotide ribosomal RNA is filed under the name Thaumetopoea herculeana. RNAcentral describes it as "16S ribosomal RNA". Lineage: Eukaryota; Metazoa; Arthropoda; Insecta; Lepidoptera; Notodontidae. The record is from RNAcentral.